This 29-nucleotide non-coding RNA is filed under the name Rattus norvegicus (Norway rat). Lineage: Eukaryota; Metazoa; Chordata; Mammalia; Rodentia; Muridae. The record is from RNAcentral.
UCAGAGAUCGAUGCUGACUUCACUAGAGC